CGAACGGGUGAGUAACGCGUGAGGAACCUGCCUCAAAGAGGAGGACAACAGUUGGAAACGACUGCUAAUACCGCAUAAGCCCACGGGUCGGCAUCGACCAGAGGGAAAAGGAGCAAUCCGCUUUGAGAUGGCCUCGCGUCCGAUUAGCUAGUUGGUGAGGUAACGGCCCACCAAGGCGACGAUCGGUAGCCGGACUGAGAGGUUGAACGGCCACAUUGGGACUGAGACACGGCCCAG
RNAcentral lists this ribosomal RNA (237 nucleotides) under uncultured bacterium. RNAcentral's name for it is "partial 16S ribosomal RNA". It matches the Rfam family "Bacterial small subunit ribosomal RNA", at positions 99 to 334 of the family's 1533-position model. The record is from RNAcentral.